This is a non-coding RNA of Phascolarctos cinereus (koala), 586 nucleotides long. NCBI's taxonomy places the organism in Eukaryota, Metazoa, Chordata, Mammalia, Diprotodontia, Phascolarctidae. The record is from RefSeq and is a predicted model, not a curated record.
UCCACUUCAGAUGAGUAUUGGACAAAAUGCUCUUCAAGGUCCCUGCCAUAUCUAAAAUUCUGGGAGUUAAAAACUGGACAUUCCUUUGCCCUGUGGUGCUCAACUUUCUCAGGUUCUCAGAUGCCACUUAACUAGGGGACUUCUGCUAGACAAGCUCCUCACCUUUUCAGUGCUGCCUCUCAGCAGCUAGAGUAUUUAAAACAAACUCUCCUUCACUCUGAAGAAUCCAUCCAGCUGGCCACUAGGGAGGGUGGAGAGAGCCAUGGCUGGAUCACUCAACAAAGCAAAUAUUAAAUGUCCUAGCCACUGAGUUUCACCCAGAGGAACAGAACUACUUGAAGCUAUUCCAGAUAUCUACAAGGAAUGACUGGCACUGUGGAAACUUACCAUAUCCACCCUCCACACACACACACCAUCAAGGCUGAGAACUUUAGAGCCAGGAGGCACCUAAAAGAUCAUCUUGUCCAGUCUCCCCCACCCAUCCAUUUUACCUUAUUUUUAAAGGUCAGGCUCUUCGUGCCUUCUGGAGCAAAAACUGGAUAAUCUAAGCUAAUGUAAGAAGACUAAAGAGAAUCCAGCAGUCUUC